AUUGAACGCUGGCGGCAUGCUUUACACAUGCAAGUCGGACGGCAGCGGUUGCUUGCAUACUGCCGGCGAGUGGCGAACGGGUGAGUAACAUAUCGGAACGUACCGAGCAGUGGGGGAUAACUAAUCGAAAGAUUAGCUAAUACCGCAUAUAUUCUGAGGAAGAAAGCAGGGGACCAUUUGGCCUUGCGCUGUUUGAGCGGCCGAUAUCUGAUUAGCUGGUUGGUGGGGUAAAGGCCUACCAAGGCGACGAUCAGUAGCGGGUCUGAGAGGAUGAUCCGCCACACUGGGACUGAGACACGGCCCAGACUCCUACGGGAGGCAGCAGUGGGGAAUUUUGGACAAUGGGCGCAAGCCUGAUCCAGCCAUGCCGCGUGUCUGAAGAAGGCCUUCGGGUUGUAAAGGACUUUUGUCAGGGAAGAAAAGGGCGGGGCUAAUACCCCUGUCUGAUGACGGUACCUGAAGAAUAAGCACCGCUAA
This 477-nucleotide ribosomal RNA is filed under the name Neisseria sp. oral taxon 014. RNAcentral describes it as "bacterial SSU rRNA". It matches the Rfam family "Bacterial small subunit ribosomal RNA", at positions 30 to 500 of the family's 1533-position model. Lineage: Bacteria; Pseudomonadati; Pseudomonadota; Betaproteobacteria; Neisseriales; Neisseriaceae. The record is from RNAcentral.